Molecule: ribosomal RNA, 492 nt
Filed under: uncultured bacterium
Lineage: Bacteria
Description: partial 16S ribosomal RNA
Rfam family: Bacterial small subunit ribosomal RNA
Source: RNAcentral
AGUGAACGCUGGCGGUAGGCCUAACACAUGCAAGUCGAACGGCAGCACAGUAAGAGCUUGCUCUUACGGGUGGCGAGUGGCGGACGGGUGAGGAAUACAUCGGAAUCUACUUUUUCGUGGGGGAUAACGUAGGGAAACUUACGCUAAUACCGCAUACGACCUACGGGUGAAAGCAGGGGAUCUUCGGACCUUGCGCGAUUGAAUGAGCCGAUGUCGGAUUAGCUAGUUGGCGGGGUAAAGGCCCACCAAGGCGACGAUCCGUAGCUGGUCUGAGAGGAUGAUCAGCCACACUGGAACUGAGACACGGUCCAGACUCCUACGGGAGGCAGCAGAGGGGAAUAUUGGACAAAGGGCGCAAGCCUGAUCCAGCCAUACCGCGUGGGCGAAGAAGGCCUUCGGGUUGUAAAGCCCUUUUGUUGGGAAAGAAAAGCAGCAGGUUAAUACCCCGCUGUUCUGACGGUACCCAAAGAAUAAGCACCGGCUAACUUCGUG